This 251-nucleotide ribosomal RNA is filed under the name uncultured prokaryote. RNAcentral describes it as "partial 16S rRNA". It matches the Rfam family "Bacterial small subunit ribosomal RNA", at positions 525 to 775 of the family's 1533-position model. The record is from RNAcentral.
ACGGAGGGUGCGAGUGUUAUUCGGAAUCACUGGGCGUAAAGCGAACGUAGGCGGAUAGGCAAGUAACAUGGGAAAAGAGGGGGCAGAACCUCGGAACUGCAUUUGAUACUGCUUGUCUUGAGUAUGGUAGAGGUGGGUGGAAUUCCCGGUGUAGAGGUGAAAUUCGUAGAUAUCGGGAGGAAUACCUGAGGCGAAGGCGACCCACUGGGCCAUUACUGACGCUGAGGUUCGAAAGCGUGGGUAGCAAACAG